This 1237-nucleotide long non-coding RNA is filed under the name Homo sapiens (human). RNAcentral's name for it is "non-protein coding lnc-DROSHA-10:1". The record is from RNAcentral. Lineage: Eukaryota; Metazoa; Chordata; Mammalia; Primates; Hominidae.
GUCCCAAGAUGUCUCAAACUCUAAGUUUACAUGAAAUAACCUUUAAAUACAGAUGACAGCAUAGAAGCAAGUACUAUUCUGAUACAACCACCUGAAAAUGCUACAGCACCUGUUUCUGAUGAGGACUCCGGGGACGAAGAAGGUGGAACAAUAAAAAAUCUGCCAGGUUCUUUGUUGCGCGCAACUGCAAAUCUUAUAAAGGUGAUUCUGAUGCAGAGUCUAACUCUGAUGAUCCCUCAUACGCACUUAAAUUUGACUCUCCUGACGAAGAUCCAUCUACGUCUACCGCGCAGCAACUUCCACCAUCAAGGAGGAGGAAAGUGACAAAAAUUGUUUGCAAAUGGAAGAGAGGGACCUAACUGCACAACUUGUAGCAGGUAGAAUUACAGAACCACCAAACGAUUUAUUCACCGAAAUGAGAACUCCCACAGAAAUUCUGGAACUUUUUCAUGAUGACGAAGUCGUUGAACUCAUUGUCAAGUACUCCAACUUACAGGCUCGAAGUUAAGGGUGUACAUCUUGGCUUGACUAGCUCCGAAUUCAAAUAUUUUCUGGGAAUUAUUUUUCUGAGUGGUUACAUCUCAGUUCCUAGAAGCCGUAUGUUUUGGGAACAACAACAACAACAAACCAGAUGCGCAUAAUGUACUGGUUAUUGCUGCCAUGAGACGUGACCGCUUUGAAACUAAAUUUUCUAAUUUGCAUGUUGCUGACGAUGCAAAUUUGGAUCCAAUGGACAAAUUUUCCAAGUUGCGACUUCUCAUAAGCAAACGUAAUGAGAGAUGUAUGAAAUUUGUUCCAAAUGAGACAUAUUUCAGCUUUAAUGAAUCCAUGGUUCCUUAUUCUGGUUGUCACAGGUGCAAACAAUUUAUUCAGGGAAAGCCCAUUAUGUUUGGCUGUAAGUUUUGUUGUGGUGCCACAUGUCUGUGCCACAUUUGCUGCUUUCAGCCGUAUCAGGGUAAAAACCCAAAUACUAAAUAUGAAGAAUACGGUGUUGGUGCAUCACUUAUUCAUAAGUUUAGUGAGGGACUUACACACACCCUGGACAAUAUCAUUUUGUAUUCGAUAACUUUUUCACCAGUAUUGCACUUCUUGAUAAGCUCAGUUCAAUGGAACAUCAGGCAACAGGUACAGUGAGAAAGGAUCGCAUUAACAAAGCCCCACUGGAAUCAGAUGUAGCUCUAAAGAAAAAAGAAAUCAUAUUCAAUUACGGAAUUGAUGGCAAAGGCAAUGUUGUCUG